ACGGGAGGCAGCAGUGGGGAAUAUUGCACAAUGGGGGAAACCCUGAUGCAGCGACGCCGCGUGAGUGAUGAAGUAUUUCGGUAUGUAAAGCUCUAUCAGCAGGGAAGAAAAUGACGGUACCUGACUAAGAAGCACCGGCUAAAUACGUGCCAGCAGCCGCGGUAAUACGUAUGGUGCAAGCGUUAUCCGGAUUUACUGGGUGUAAAGGGAGCGUAGGCGGCAUGGCAAGUCAGAUGUGAAAGCCCGGGGCUCAACCCCGGAACUGCAUUUGAAACUGUCAGGCUAGAGUGCCGGAGAGGUAAGCGGAAUUCCUAGUGUAGCGGUGAAAUGCGUAGAUAUUAGGAGGAACACCAGUGGCGAAGGCGGCUUACUGGACGGUAACUGACGCUGAGGCUCGAAAGCGUGGGGAGCAAACAGGAUUAGAUACCCUGGUA
RNAcentral lists this ribosomal RNA (434 nucleotides) under uncultured bacterium. Its description in RNAcentral is "partial 16S ribosomal RNA". It matches the Rfam family "Bacterial small subunit ribosomal RNA", at positions 341 to 792 of the family's 1533-position model. The record is from RNAcentral.